This is a long non-coding RNA of Thalassophryne amazonica, 1081 nucleotides long. RefSeq lists it as uncharacterized. The record is from RefSeq and is a predicted model, not a curated record. Lineage: Eukaryota; Metazoa; Chordata; Actinopteri; Batrachoidiformes; Batrachoididae. The transcript is spliced from 2 exons.
CAGGAUAUAAAUCUUCAAUAAAAAUUUCAUAAUGAUGUAUGAAAAAUUGUGGGAUCCAAGCUGUUCACAAACAAACGGGCAAAAACAUAACCGCUGCCCAACUUCGUUGGUGGAGGUAAAACCCAUUUAAGACAAAUUGGGUUUAGAGCAUUUCAACUUUGAUGCAAAGUGAGUUGUCAUCUGGUUUAAAUCUGUUUUAAGACAUUUAAAAUGCGUCAGAGAUUGUAAUAAGUAAAAAUUGAUGUCAUUGUCUCCUUGACAAAUUCAGCAUUUCAAAUAGUUGCUGAUCACUCUGUCAAACAAACAAAUCUGUUGCAGGUGAUUAAAGGACUAAAAUAAUAAUGUAUGAAUUUAAGCAUACAAAGUAAAGCAAGCGUACAACGUAACCAAAAUUAAAGGAUGUAACUUUUUGUUUGAGGAAUGCGCCUGUUUUCUUGUGUUCUGUGGCUUUGCAGUGGAUGGAAGAACUCUUAGAUGCAUGACAGCACUGAUUGAAGUGUAAUACUCACGUGUCCACUUUACAAACUGUACAUUCUUAACGUUUGCUGAAAAAGCUUUUAGUCAAAUUUGCUCCUUUGUUUUUUUUGACAUUGAAAUAAAUACUGUUUUUGUUGAAUGUGAGCUUCUCCUGUAUGUUGUGCUUUAAUUUCUUUUUUCCAAACCCACUUUCUGUAAAGGAAUUGAAAUAAGUUCUGAUUUUAUUAUACUGUGAAGUACUUUUUUAAGGUUUUGGCUACCUUUCUUCAAAAGAAUAUCAUCACUUCAGUUUUUGCUAUAAAACGAGGAGGGAUGCAUAGAAAUCCAUGCUGCCAUUGAUAAGCUACUCCCUCAGCGUCUCGGUGCCUUAUGCAAACUCUGUCUUUCCAGCGUUAGCACAUUUUUUUUUUUUUUUUUAAAUAUCUGAUCUCUUCUUAAAGAAUCUGUUUGGCUCCAGCCUUUAGUGGUUGACAUUUGGAGAACUGCACUUUGAAUCACCAUUUUCACUCUGUUUUCACUGUUUGUUCUGCUGUAAAAAUGCACUGACUUUGAAGGCAUCCUGAUGUAGAGAAAUGUGAUAAUCAAAUAAAUUGUGUAUCAGAUG